This 1003-nucleotide ribosomal RNA is filed under the name Oenococcus oeni. RNAcentral describes it as "bacterial SSU rRNA". It matches the Rfam family "Bacterial small subunit ribosomal RNA", at positions 188 to 1179 of the family's 1533-position model. Lineage: Bacteria; Bacillati; Bacillota; Bacilli; Lactobacillales; Lactobacillaceae. The record is from RNAcentral.
CAUGUGAUCUGUUUGAAAGGUCCUUUUGGAUCGCUAGAGGAUGGUCUUGCGGCGUAUUAGCUUGUUGGUAGGGUAGAAGCCUACCAAGGCAAUGAUGCGUAGCCGAGUUGAGAGACUGGCCGGCCACAUUGGGACUGAGACACUGCCCAAACUCCUACGGGAGGCUGCAGUAGGGAAUUUUCCGCAAUGCACGAAAGUGUGACGGAGCGACGCCGCGUGUGUGAUGAAGGCUUUCGGGUCGUAAAGCACUGUUGUAAGGGAAGAAUAACUGAAUUCAGAGAAAGUUUUCAGCUUGACGGUACCUUACCAGAAAGGGAUGGCUAAAUACGUGCCAGCAGCCGCGGUAAUACGUAUGUCCCGAGCGUUAUCCGGAUUUAUUGGGCGUAAAGCGAGCGCAGACGGUUUAUUAAGUCUGAUGUGAAAUCCCGAGGCCCAACCUCGGAACUGCAUUGGAAACUGAUUUACUUGAGUGCGAUAGAGGCAAGUGGAACUCCAUGUGUAGCGGUGAAAUGCGUAGAUAUGUGGAAGAACACCAGUGGCGAAAGCGGCUUGCUAGAUCGUAACUGACGUUGAGGCUCGAAAGUAUGGGUAGCAAACGGGAUUAGAUACCCCGGUAGUCCAUACCGUAAACGAUGGGUGCUAGUUGUUAAGAGGUUUCCGCCUCCUAGUGACGUAGCAAACGCAUUAAGCACCCCGCCUGAGGAGUACGGCCGCAAGGCUAAAACUUAAAGGAAUUGACGGGGACCCGCACAAGCGGUGGAGCAUGUGGUUUAAUUCGAAGAUACGCGAAAAACCUUACCAGGUCUUGACAUACCAAUGAUCGCUUUUGUAAUGAAAGCUUUUCUUCGGAACAUUGGAUACAGGUGGUGCAUGGUCGUCGUCAGCUCGUGUCGUGAGAUGUUGGGUUAAGUCCCGCAACGAGCGCAACCCUUGUUAUUAGUUGCCAGCAUUUAGUUGGGCACUCUAAUGAGACUGCCGGUGAUAAACCGGAGGAAGGUGGGGA